This 468-nucleotide ribosomal RNA is filed under the name uncultured bacterium. RNAcentral's name for it is "partial 16S ribosomal RNA". It matches the Rfam family "Bacterial small subunit ribosomal RNA", at positions 28 to 507 of the family's 1533-position model. The record is from RNAcentral.
GACGAACGCUGGCGGCGUGCUUAACACAUGCAAGUCGAACGGAAAGGCCCUGCUUUUGUGGGGUGCUCGAGUGGCGAACGGGUGAGUAACACUUGAGUAACCUGUCAUUGACUUUGGGAUAACUUCAGGAAACUGGGGCUAAUACCGGAUAGGAGCUCUUGCUGUAUGGUGGGGGUUGGAAAGUUUCGGCGGUUGGGGAUGGACUCGCGUCUUAUCAGCUUGUUGGUGGGGUAGUGGCUUACCAAGGCUUUGACGGGUAGCCGGCCUGAGAGGGUGACCGGCCACAUUGGGACUGAAAUACGGCCCAGACUCCUACGGGAGGCAGCAGUGGGGAAUAUUGCACAAUGGGCGGAAGCCUGAUGCAGCAACGCCGCGUGCGGGAUGACGGCCUUCGGGUUGUAAACCGCUUUCGCCUGUGACGAAGCGUGAGUGACGGUAAUGGGUAAAGAAGCACCGGCUAACUACGUG